This 107-nucleotide small nucleolar RNA is filed under the name Gossypium arboreum. RNAcentral's name for it is "Plant small nucleolar RNA R71". It matches the Rfam family "Plant small nucleolar RNA R71". Rfam says of the family: R71 is a member of the C/D box family of snoRNAs containing the C (UGAUGA) and D (CUGA) box motifs. Multiple nearly identical copies of this snoRNA have been identified in Arabidopsis, and it is thought to function as a 2'-O-ribose methylation guide for 18S ribosomal RNA. Lineage: Eukaryota; Viridiplantae; Streptophyta; Magnoliopsida; Malvales; Malvaceae. The record is from Rfam by way of RNAcentral.
AAACCAUGGUAAGGGAACCUUCUCAAAAGAUCCUUGUAUCUCUCCCAUGCAUCAUAGAGUGUUUCUAGAUUCAUCUACAUAAAAGAAGACAUGUCAUUCCUAAACUU